UGGGGAAUUUUGCACAAUGGGGGAAACCCUGAUGCAGCGACGCCGCGUGAUUUAGAAGGCCUUCGGGUUGUAAAAAUCUUUUCUAUGGGAAGAAAAUGACAGUACCAUAGGAAUAAGGACCGGCUAAUUACGUGCCAGCAGCCGCGGUAAUACGUAAGGUCCGAGCGUUGUCCGGAAUCAUUGGGCGUAAAGGGUACGUAGGCGGGUAAGCAAGUUAGAAGUGAAAUCCUAUAGCUCAACUAUAGUAAGCUUUUAAAACUGCUCAUCUUGAGGGAGGGAAGGGAAAGUGGAAUUCCUAGUGUAGCGGUGAAAUGCGCAGAUAUUAGGAGGAAUACCGGUGGCGAAGGCGACUUUCUGGCCAUAACCUGACGCUGAGGUACGAAAGCGUGGGUAGCAAACAGG
Molecule: ribosomal RNA, 402 nt
Filed under: bacterium
Lineage: Bacteria
Description: partial 16S ribosomal RNA
Rfam family: Bacterial small subunit ribosomal RNA
Source: RNAcentral